Molecule: ribosomal RNA, 1481 nt
Filed under: uncultured Bordetella sp.
Lineage: Bacteria; Pseudomonadati; Pseudomonadota; Betaproteobacteria; Burkholderiales; Alcaligenaceae
Description: partial 16S-23S ribosomal RNA intergenic spacer
Rfam family: Bacterial small subunit ribosomal RNA
Source: RNAcentral
UUCGAUCCUGGCUCAGAUUGAACGCUGGCGGGAUGCUUUACACAUGCAAGUCAUAUAAACGGCAGCACGGACUUCGGUCUGGUGGCGAGUGGCGAACGGGUGAGAAUACCGGAACGUGCCUAUAGUGGGAUAAUCUACGCGAAAGCGUAGCUAAUACUUCCUCUCGCAUACGCUCCUCGGGGAAAGCGGGGGACCGGCCUCACCAGAGUGCCGAUACCAACGGGAUUACUAUUGGUGGGGUAACGGCUCACCAAGGUUACGAUCCGUAGCUGGUUUGAGAGGACGACCAGCCACACUGGGACUGGAGACACGGCCCAGACUCCUACGGGAGGCAGCAGUGUAAUUUGGAUAAUGUGGGAAACCCUGAUCCAACAUCCUGGCGUGCGAUGAAGGCCUCUUCGCCAGGGUGUAGUUAAUUUCGGCAGGGAAGAAAUGCACGGGAUAAUACCCUGUGCAACUGACGGUACCAGAAUAAGCACCGGGCUAACCAUGCGCCAGCAGCCGCGGUAAUACGUAGGGUGCAAGCGUUAAUCGGAAUUAUCAAGUGAAGCGGCAGGCGGUUCGGAAAGAAAGAUGAAUCCCCAGAGCUUAACUUGGAACUGCAUUUUUAACUACCGAGCUAGAGUGUGUCAGAGGGAGGUGGGAACUGCGUGUAGCAGUGAAAUGCGUAGAUAUGCGGAGGAACACCGAUGGCGAAGGCAGCCUCCUGAUAACACUGACGCUCAUGCACGAAGUGGGAGCAAACAGGAUUAGAUACCCUGGUAGUCCACGCCCUAAACGAUGUCAACUAGCUGUUAGGGCCUUCGGGCCCCAGGCGCAGUUAAUUGCGAAGUUGACCGCCUGGGGAGUACGGUCGCAAGAUUAAAACUCAAAGGAAUUGACGGGGACCCGCACAAGCGGUGGAUGAUGUGGAUUAAUUCGAUGCAACGCGAAAAACCUUACCUACCCUUGACAUGUCUGAAUCCCGAAGAGAUUUGGGGAGUGCUCGUAAGAGAACCGAACACAGGUGCUGCAUGGCUGCUGUCAGCUCUCGUGUCGGAGAUGUUGCCAAGUCCCGCAACGAGCGCAACCCUUGCUGGGCUGGGGUUGCCACGAAAGGGCACUCUAUCGAGACUGCCAGACAAACCGAGGAAGGUGGGGAUGACGUCAAGUCCUCAUGGCUCUUGGCGGGUGGGGCUUCGACGUCAUGCUAGCUCGUCGUGACAGAGGUCGUCAACCCGCGAGGUGGGACAAUCCCAGAAACCCGAUCGUAGCUCGGAUCGCAGUCUGCGACUCGACUGCGUGAAGUCGGAAUCGCUAGUAAUCGCGGAUCAGCAUGUCGCGGUGAAUACGUUCCCGGGUCUUGCAACACACCUCGCCCGUCACACCAUGGGGAGGGUUUUACCAGAAGUAGUUAGCCUAACCGUAAGGAGGGCGAUUACCACGGUAGGAUUCAUGACUGGGGUGAAGUCGGACAAGGUAGCUCGGUUAUUACCUGAUGU